RNAcentral lists this ribosomal RNA (403 nucleotides) under bacterium. RNAcentral's name for it is "partial 16S ribosomal RNA". It matches the Rfam family "Bacterial small subunit ribosomal RNA", at positions 355 to 776 of the family's 1533-position model. RNAcentral also lists the same sequence under 1 other name. The record is from RNAcentral.
UGGGGAAUAUUGCACAAUGGAGGGAACUCUGAUGCAGCGACGCCGCGUGAACGAAGAAGGCUUUCGAGUCGUAAAGUUCUUUUAUAUGGGAAGAUAAUGACGGUACCAUAAGAAAAAGCCCCGGCUAACUACGUGCCAGCAGCCGCGGUAAUACGAAGGGGGCUAGCGUUGUCCGGAAUCACUGGGCGUAAAGGGUUCGCAGGCGGAAAUGCAAGUCAGGUGUAAAAGGCAGUAGCUUAACUACUGUAAGCAUUUGAAACUGCAUAUCUUGAGAAGAGUAGAGGUAAGUGGAAUUUUUAGUGUAGCGGUGAAAUGCGUAGAUAUUAAAAAGAAUACCGGUGGCGAAGGCGACUUACUGGGCUCAUUCUGACGCUGAGGAACGAAAGCGUGGGUAGCAAACAGG